UGCCCUAGAGGGCCCAGUAGCCCCACUGAAGCUGGCCCAGCACAAGGAGAUCUACAUCUUCCAGGGAGAGGCAGCUGAGAUCAGAAGGGACCAGCUGGAGAGCCCAGACCAGGACCAGGAGGGUCUGUCAAGGGCUUCUGCUCACCCAGGAACCCCACAGAGCAGCCACGGGCCUUCCAGAGAUCUGACAUGCCCUGUGACCUCAGGCCAGUCCUUGCCCGCUCUCAGCCUUACUCUUCCACACUGCUUAUUUCGGAGACCCUUCUGGUCUGCAUCUGGAGCUUGGGGCCCAUGGUAGCCCAGGAGGCAGUGCCGCCAGCAGACAUCGUUUUCUCAGUGAAGAGCCCACCGAGUGCCGGCUACCUGGUGAUGGUGCUGCGUGGCAUCUUGGCAGAUGAGCCACCCAGCCUGGACCCCGUGCAGAGCUUCUCCCAAGAGGCAGUGGACACAGGCAGGAUCCUCUACCUGCACUCCCGCCCUGAGGCCCGGAGCCAUGCCUUCUCGCUGGAUGUGGCCUCGGCCUGGGUGCUCCCCUUGAGGACGUCACGUGGAGCUGGAGGUGCUGCCUGCUGUCAUCCCCACUGGGGGCACAAAACUUCAGCAGUAGAGGGGGCACAGUCGCAGCUGCACCCUGGCCCCUCCACUGCUCCGCGUUGCCAGGUCCUACUUCCCCACUCUCCCGGGCCUUGGCCUGCAGGUGCUGGAGCCACCCCGGCAUGGGGCCCUGCAGAAGGAGGAUGGGCCUCAAGCCAGGACCCUCAGCACCUUCUGCUGGAGAGAGGUGGAAGAGCAUCUGAUCCAGUACCUGCACGAUGGGAGCAAGACACUGACGGUUUUGUCCUGAUGGCUAAUGCCUCUGAGAUGGACCGCCAGAGCCAUCCUGUGGCCUUCACUGUCACCAUCCUGCCUGUCAAUGGCCAACCCCCGACCUCAUACAAACUCAGGCCUGCAGGGGCCCUGGACGGAGGCAUCCACUUUGGCCUCUCUGACAGUGAACAUACUUCCUCCAGACACUUAGCUUCUGAGUGACGGCCCAGAAGCAAGUGCUUCACUCGCUGGAGGGCAGCCGGACACUGACUGCCCAGAGUCCGUCCAGCCACUCAGCAGCCAGAGCCUCAGAGCCAGCAGGCACCGACCCCCAGCUCCUGCUCUACCAUGUGGUGCGGGGCCUCCAGCUAGGCCGGCUCUUCCACGCCCAGCAUGACAGCACAGGGGAGGACCUGGUGAACUUCACUCAGGCAGAGACCCCGGAGUUCAUCAUCUCGGAGCUGCUGGCCAAUAUGUACUCAUGUGGGAACCAGAACACACUGAUGGAGGAGUUGGCAGAGCAGGCACAGCAGCACGACGAGAUGCUGCACAUGCACCACGCGCUGAAGGAGGCGCUCAGCAUCAUCGGUGACAUCAACAGGACCACUGUCACCAUGCCCAUGCCCCCGCCCGUGGACGACACCUGGUUGUCAGAGCAUCCCUGACGAACACAGCCCAGUCCCGGGGGCGCCUACUUCAGGUCUGAGAGUCUGAACUCCGAGAUGCUCUGGGUGUGUGGAUUUCCUUCAGCUACCCUGAUGUCCCCACUUCCAAGUCCUGACUCCUUUGAGCCAUCCCAGGGGGUGUCCGGCCACUGGACCACAGGAGCAGAGGCGAGUCUGUGACUGUGUGACCAGCAAGGAUGGCUGUGGGGAUCAAGGGAGACAGUGGCCAUAGGGAUGCUAUGUUAACCGCAGAUGCGGCUGUAGGAGCACUUUGCUAACUGCCAACGAUGGGUGGUCCUCUGAGCACGCCAGGCACGAGUGUGCAGGGAGCUGGUGCAAAUGCCUCUGUGUGCAGAAUCACUAUCAGUGGCCCCUGAGGAGCAUCAGCCAUGGUACCAUCACAGCUGCUAGCAUGUGACUGAAGGCUGGGUCCCUGGCCAGCACUACUGAAGCACUACUGCCAGCCAGCAGGCUCACGGACCUUGGCCUGUUGCUCCUAGGGGUCACCUGUGCUAUUCAGCCAAGGAGACCACAGUGCUUGCUGGCCCAGCUGAGCUCCGCCUAGCGAGCCCACCUGCCUUUCCUGCCACGGAGUCUCCCUCUUCUGCUUUUCCCAGCAGGAAGGGCCCAGCCUCACCUAUGCAACCUGCAGCCCCCCGCCAACCAGUUGAGGUUCCCCUCUUAGACUUAUAAGUCUAUGGGCAGUGGCAUCUAGCUACCUGCCCUCCCUGCCUUCCCCAGGGUCCCUUCAGUGGACCCUGGGCUUUCUGACUGCCCAGAGAGGGGCCUCUGGCGCUCACUCCAGCCAGCCAUCCCUUACAGCUUCACCAUUUUGGUUCAAGCAGUGUUCCUUCUGUCAGGCUUGGUGGCUGUUGGGUGGGGCUCCCCAAGCAAGAGGUGGCCCUGGGCCAGUGGGUUGGAAGAUGGGGUGACCACAGAAGAGGGAAGCCGGGGGAGUUGAGCAUUGGUCUGAACUGUGGGUGGACUGCCUGGGUGCCAUGAGAGAGGCCAGUGUGUGUGGGGUGGGGAGGACUGCCACAGCCCCCAGGCACUACCUAUGAAGCUCCGGCUUCUCCCUCCAUCUUCCUCCCCUUUCCCUUCCAGCCCCUCUUUUCCAGGAACCUUGCCACGCCCACACCUACGCCUUCCCCUUCCCGGCUCUCAGAUGAUGGUGGUGUUUAUCUCCCUGUUCUUGGGAGCCCAAAAAGAAUGGCAUGCAGGGGUUGCUGCCCAUGCCUGGGUGCUCCUGGGGAGUCCUGCAUUACAGGAAGCAGCUGCUGGAUCUGCUGUGCAGUGGGGUUGUCGUGGGGAGAACCCUCCCUGUCCUCUCCUGGUGCAGCCUCCACGCUAUCAGUGAGGCUCACCUCACAAAGAUCUUCAGAGAGAGGGAGGGGGGGUGGGAAUCUGAGCACAGUGUGAGCCUCCCCUGCUCCUGCCUGCCCACCCCGCCUGAGGGCUCUACUCACCACCCUGCUCGUCAGCACACCCAAGCUCCUGGGCUAUUGGGGCUCCUAGAGUGGGCUCAUCAGCAGGGUUCUGGGCAAUGGUCAGAAUUUGCCAUGCCCCUCCUUGUGGUCUCCCACAAGCUGCAACACCUGCCCCGCAGCUCCUGCAGGUUCACCUGGAGGAAGGGGUGUUAGCUGCCAUGCCGGUGCCAGCACGCACGUUCACACCCACCCCCACCCUCCCCCACCGAGAUGUUGCACACCCUACCUUCAUCUCCUCCUGGUCCUGGGCCAGCCUGACGAUGUCCUCCUCUCCCAGUGCUGCGUCUCUGACACUGCCCCCUGGCUGAUGUACUUUCCUGCAGGAGGACAUGGCUCAGAUGCUGGGGCCCCUCGGACGGCCUGGCAGCUCCCCCCAGCGGUGCCCUAGCCUCUCACUCCCUAUGGUGUCUGUCUGUCCUGAGAGGUGGAUGAAUUGAAGCUCUAGUUUCUCU
This 3411-nucleotide long non-coding RNA is filed under the name Homo sapiens (human). RNAcentral's name for it is "novel transcript". The record is from RNAcentral. Lineage: Eukaryota; Metazoa; Chordata; Mammalia; Primates; Hominidae.